RNAcentral lists this ribosomal RNA (279 nucleotides) under Pseudomonas turukhanskensis. Its description in RNAcentral is "partial 16S ribosomal RNA". It matches the Rfam family "Bacterial small subunit ribosomal RNA", at positions 975 to 1253 of the family's 1533-position model. Lineage: Bacteria; Pseudomonadati; Pseudomonadota; Gammaproteobacteria; Pseudomonadales; Pseudomonadaceae. The record is from RNAcentral.
CUGGCCUUGACAUGCUGAGAACUUUCCAGAGAUGGAUUGGUGCCUUCGGGAACUCAGACACAGGUGCUGCAUGGCUGUCGUCAGCUCGUGUCGUGAGAUGUUGGGUUAAGUCCCGUAACGAGCGCAACCCUUGUCCUUAGUUACCAGCACGUUAUGGUGGGCACUCUAAGGAGACUGCCGGUGACAAACCGGGGGAAGGUGGGGAUGACGUCAAGUCAUCGUGGCCCUUACGGCCAGGGCUACACACGUGCUACAAUGGUCGGUACAAAGGGUUGCCAA